GCAAGCCUGAUGCAGCGACGCCGCGUGAGGGAUGACGGCCUUCGGGUUGUAAACCUCUUUCAGUAGGGAAGAAGCGUAAGUGACGGUACCUGCAGAAGAAGCGCCGGCUAACUACGUGCCAGCAGCCGCGGUAAUACGUAGGGCGCAAGCGUUAUCCGGAAUUAUUGGGCGUAAAGAGCUCGUAGGCGGUUUGUCGCGUCUGCUGUGAAAGACCGGGGCUCAACUCCGGUUCUGCAGUGGGUACGGGCAGACUAGAGUGCAGUAGGGGAGACUGGAAUUCCUGGUGUAGCGGUGAAAUGCGCAGAUAUCAGGAGGAACACCGAUGGCGAAGGCAGGUCUCUGGGCUGUAACUGACGCUGAGGAGCGAAAGCAUGGGGAGCGAACAGGAUUAGAUACCCUGGUAGUCCAUGCCGUAAACGUUGGGCACUAGGUGUGGGGGACAUUCCACGUUUUCCGCGCCGUAGCUAACGCAUUAAGUGCCCCGCCUGGGGAGUACGGCCGCAAGGCUAAAACUCAAAGG
Molecule: ribosomal RNA, 520 nt
Filed under: humic substances-degrading bacterium HS143
Lineage: Bacteria
Description: bacterial SSU rRNA
Rfam family: Bacterial small subunit ribosomal RNA
Source: RNAcentral